AAGCCAAUGUUUCCACAGGGGAGAUGGUUUUAGGAUGAAAUUUUUCCACCUUAGAUCAUCAGGCAUUAGUUAGAAUCUCGUAAGGAGUGUGCAACUUAAAUCCC
This is a long non-coding RNA of Sapajus apella (tufted capuchin), 104 nucleotides long. RefSeq lists it as uncharacterized. NCBI's taxonomy places the organism in Eukaryota, Metazoa, Chordata, Mammalia, Primates, Cebidae. The record is from RefSeq and is a predicted model, not a curated record. The transcript has 3 exons.